RNAcentral lists this ribosomal RNA (428 nucleotides) under Pseudomonadota bacterium. Its description in RNAcentral is "Proteobacteria bacterium partial 16S ribosomal RNA". It matches the Rfam family "Bacterial small subunit ribosomal RNA", at positions 355 to 776 of the family's 1533-position model. Lineage: Bacteria; Pseudomonadati; Pseudomonadota. The record is from RNAcentral.
UGGGGAAUAUUGGACAAUGGCGAAAGCCUGAUCCAGCCAUGCCGCGUGUGUGAAGAAGGUCUUCGGAUUGUAAAGCACUUUAAGUUGGGAGGAAGGGCAGUAAGCGAAUACCUUGCUGUUUUGACGUUACCGACAGAAUAAGCACCGGCUAACUCUGUGCCAGCAGCCGCGGUAAUACAGAGGGUGCAAGCGUUAAUCGGAAUUACUGGGCGUAAAGCGCGCGUAGGUGGUUCGUUAAGUUGAAUGUGAAAGCCCCGGGCUCAACCUGGUAACUGCAUCCAAAACUGGCGCGCUAGUGUAGGGCAGAGGGUGGUGGAAUUUCCUGUGUAGCGGUGAAAUGCGUAGAUAUAGGAAGGAACACCAGUUGCGAAGGCGACCACCUGGGCUCAUACUGACACUGAGGUGCGAAAGCGUGGGGUGCAAACAGG